GGUUAAGCGACUAAGCGUACACGGUGGAUGCCCUGGCAGUCAGAGGCGAUGAAGGACGUGCUAAUCUGCGAUAAGCGUCGGUAAGGUGAUAUGAACCGUUAUAACCGGCGAUUUCCGAAUGGGGAAACCCAGUGUGUUUCGACACACUAUCAUUAACUGAAUCCAUAGGUUAAUGAGGCGAACCGGGGGAACUGAAACAUCUAAGUACCCCGAGGAAAAGAAAUCAACCGAGAUUCCCCCAGUAGCGGCGAGCGAACGGGGAGCAGCCCAGAGCCUGAAUCAGUGUGUGUGUUAGUGGAAGCGUCUGGAAAGGCGCGCGAUACAGGGUGACAGCCCCGUACACAAAAAUGCACAUGCUGUGAGCUCGAUGAGUAGGGCGGGACACGUGGUAUCCUGUCUGAAUAUGGGGGGACCAUCCUCCAAGGCUAAAUACUCCUGACUGACCGAUAGUGAACCAGUACCGUGAGGGAAAGGCGAAAAGAACCCCGGCGAGGGGAGUGAAAAAGAACCUGAAACCGUGUACGUACAAGCAGUGGGAGCACGCUUAGGCGUGUGACUGCGUACCUUUUGUAUAAUGGGUCAGCGACUUAUAUUCUGUAGCAAGGUUAACCGAAUAGGGGAGCCGAAGGGAAACCGAGUCUUAACUGGGCGUUAAGUUGCAGGGUAUAGACCCGAAACCCGGUGAUCUAGCCAUGGGCAGGUUGAAGGUUGGGUAACACUAACUGGAGGACCGAACCGACUAAUGUUGAAAAAUUAGCGGAUGACUUGUGGCUGGGGGUGAAAGGCCAAUCAAACCGGGAGAUAGCUGGUUCUCCCCGAAAGCUAUUUAGGUAGCGCCUCGUGAAUUCAUCUCCGGGGGUAGAGCACUGUUUCGGCAAGGGGGUCAUCCCGACUUACCAACCCGAUGCAAACUGCGAAUACCGGAGAAUGUUAUCACGGGAGACACACGGCGGGUGCUAACGUCCGUCGUGAAGAGGGAAACAACCCAGACCGCCAGCUAAGGUCCCAAAGUCAUGGUUAAGUGGGAAACGAUGUGGGAAGGCCCAGACAGCCAGGAUGUUGGCUUAGAAGCAGCCAUCAUUUAAAGAAAGCGUAAUAGCUCACUGGUCGAGUCGGCCUGCGCGGAAGAUGUAACGGGGCUAAACCAUGCACCGAAGCUGCGGCAGCGACGCUUAUGCGUUGUUGGGUAGGGGAGCGUUCUGUAAGCCUGCGAAGGUGUGCUGUGAGGCAUGCUGGAGGUAUCAGAAGUGCGAAUGCUGACAUAAGUAACGAUAAAGCGGGUGAAAAGCCCGCUCGCCGGAAGACCAAGGGUUCCUGUCCAACGUUAAUCGGGGCAGGGUGAGUCGACCCCUAAGGCGAGGCCGAAAGGCGUAGUCGAUGGGAAACAGGUUAAUAUUCCUGUACUUGGUGUUACUGCGAAGGGGGGACGCAGAAGGCUAUGUUGGCCGGGCGACGGUUGUCCCGGUUUAAGCGUGUAGGCUGGUUUUCCAGGCAAAUCCGGAAAAUCAAGGCUGAGGCGUGAUGACGAGGCACUACGGUGCUGAAGCAACAAAUGCCCUGCUUCCAGGAAAAGCCUCUAAGCAUCAGGUAACAUCAAAUCGUACCCCAAACCGACACAGGUGGUCAGGUAGAGAAUACCAAGGCGCUUGAGAGAACUCGGGUGAAGGAACUAGGCAAAAUGGUGCCGUAACUUCGGGAGAAGGCACGCUGAUAUGUAGGUGAGGUCCCUCGCGGAUGGAGCUGAAAUCAGUCGAAGAUACCAGCUGGCUGCAACUGUUUAUUAAAAACACAGCACUGUGCAAACACGAAAGUGGACGUAUACGGUGUGACGCCUGCCCGGUGCCGGAAGGUUAAUUGAUGGGGUUAGCGCAAGCGAAGCUCUUGAUCGAAGCCCCGGUAAACGGCGGCCGUAACUAUAACGGUCCUAAGGUAGCGAAAUUCCUUGUCGGGUAAGUUCCGACCUGCACGAAUGGCGUAAUGAUGGCCAGGCUGUCUCCACCCGAGACUCAGUGAAAUUGAACUCGCUGUGAAGAUGCAGUGUACCCGCGGCAAGACGGAAAGACCCCGUGAACCUUUACUAUAGCUUGACACUGAACAUUGAGCCUUGAUGUGUAGGAUAGGUGGGAGGCUUUGAAGUGUGGACGCCAGUCUGCAUGGAGCCGACCUUGAAAUACCACCCUUUAAUGUUUGAUGUUCUAACGUUGACCCGUAAUCCGGGUUGCGGACAGUGUCUGGUGGGUAGUUUGACUGGGGCGGUCUCCUCCUAAAGAGUAACGGAGGAGCACGAAGGUUGGCUAAUCCUGGUCGGACAUCAGGAGGUUAGUGCAAUGGCAUAAGCCAGCUUGACUGCGAGCGUGACGGCGCGAGCAGGUGCGAAAGCAGGUCAUAGUGAUCCGGUGGUUCUGAAUGGAAGGGCCAUCGCUCAACGGAUAAAAGGUACUCCGGGGAUAACAGGCUGAUACCGCCCAAGAGUUCAUAUCGACGGCGGUGUUUGGCACCUCGAUGUCGGCUCAUCACAUCCUGGGGCUGAAGUAGGUCCCAAGGGUAUGGCUGUUCGCCAUUUAAAGUGGUACGCGAGCUGGGUUUAGAACGUCGUGAGACAGUUCGGUCCCUAUCUGCCGUGGGCGCUGGAGAACUGAGGGGGGCUGCUCCUAGUACGAGAGGACCGGAGUGGACGCAUCACUGGUGUUCGGGUUGUCAUGCCAAUGGCACUGCCCGGUAGCUAAAUGCGGAAGAGAUAAGUGCUGAAAGCAUCUAAGCACGAAACUUGCCCCGAGAUGAGUUCUCCCUGACCCUUUAAGGGUCCUGAAGGAACGUUGAAGACGACGACGUUGAUAGGCCGGGUGUGUAAGCGCAGCGAUGCGUUGAGCUAACCGGUACUAAUGAACCGUGAGGCUUAACCUU
RNAcentral lists this ribosomal RNA (2904 nucleotides) under Escherichia coli. Its description in RNAcentral is "23S ribosomal RNA from Escherichia coli (PDB 1C2W, chain B)". It matches the Rfam family "Bacterial large subunit ribosomal RNA". The record is from RNAcentral. Lineage: Bacteria; Pseudomonadati; Pseudomonadota; Gammaproteobacteria; Enterobacterales; Enterobacteriaceae.